AAAUUGAAGAGUUUGAUCAUGGCUCAGAUUGAACGCUGGCGGCAGGCCUAACACAUGCAAGUCGAACGGUAACAGGAAGAAGCUUGCUUCUUUGCUGACGAGUGGCGGACUGGUGAGUAAUGGCUGGGAAACUGCCUGAUGGGGGGGGGUAACUACUGGAAACGGUAGGUAAUACCGCAUAACGGUGAAAGAACAAAGAGGGGGACCUUCGGGCCUCUUGCCAU
This 224-nucleotide ribosomal RNA is filed under the name Escherichia coli. RNAcentral describes it as "partial 16S ribosomal RNA". It matches the Rfam family "Bacterial small subunit ribosomal RNA", at positions 1 to 221 of the family's 1533-position model. Lineage: Bacteria; Pseudomonadati; Pseudomonadota; Gammaproteobacteria; Enterobacterales; Enterobacteriaceae. The record is from RNAcentral.